RNAcentral lists this microRNA precursor (198 nucleotides) under Setaria italica (foxtail millet). RNAcentral's name for it is "MIR1435 microRNA precursor family". It matches the Rfam family "MIR1435 microRNA precursor family". RNAcentral also lists the same sequence under 1 other name. The record is from Rfam by way of RNAcentral. Lineage: Eukaryota; Viridiplantae; Streptophyta; Magnoliopsida; Poales; Poaceae.
UAGUUAUGUUCUAAGUCAAACUUCUAUAACGCUGACAAAGUUUAUAGAAAAAUAUAUUAACAUCUACAAUACCAAAUAAAUGUACUAUCAAGACAUUUCAUAGUGGAUUUAAUGAAACUCAUUUGAUGCUGUAGAUGUUGGUGUAUUUUUCUAUACAUUUGGUCAAAGUUAGAGAAAUUUGACUUGGGACAAAAACAU